Pezoporus occidentalis (night parrot) is the source of this 677-nucleotide long non-coding RNA. RefSeq lists it as uncharacterized. The record is from RefSeq and is a predicted model, not a curated record. Lineage: Eukaryota; Metazoa; Chordata; Aves; Psittaciformes; Psittacidae. The transcript has 2 exons.
GCCAGAGCCCUUCGCAGGCCUCGCUGCUUGGCCUCAGGCACGUUGUGGUGGGGACAGCAGCGGGAAGGGGGACACACGCCGUGGACACGGGUUCCCCGUGUUGUGACACACGCCCCGGCUCGCACGGAAGCAGGCAGCAGCUGCUUGGGGAUGGAAGUUUAGUACCAAAUGCCAUCACGUUUAAAGCAGUACUGACCAAGGACCAGCUUACUUUGCAGGAGGCCCUGCAGAGCAGGGGCUGGCGGCCUGCCAGCACCAGGAAGAGGUUUUCCGGGCUGGGACUCGUCUCAGCUGAGCUGUAGCCAUACAUGAGAACGUCCAGACACCUUUUCAGAAACCGUAUGGUCACUUCCCAUGGGGUACAGGCCUGGAACUGGGGCUUUGUCUGCAGAUCGGGCCUUGCUUUUGGGUGACAUGUGGCUCUGGAUCACAAAAAGCUGACUCUGAUACCAGGGCUAAUUUAGAGACAAAUACAGAACAUGCCUGCAUGCUUCCCCCUUUUUAGCUAACAGAAAUUGCUGGCCAUAUAACUAUGAUGGAGAUGGAUUCAGAUUAAUCUGUUUCAAUCCAGAUGUGGCUGGACUAAAAUAGUGAGUAAAAAUAAAAUCCUCGUGUAAAUAAGAAGUUGAAAAUGGAAGAACUGGGCAUCUGGAGCAGUAAGUGGUCUAAUUGCUUAA